RNAcentral lists this ribosomal RNA (253 nucleotides) under uncultured bacterium. Its description in RNAcentral is "partial 16S ribosomal RNA". It matches the Rfam family "Bacterial small subunit ribosomal RNA", at positions 333 to 578 of the family's 1533-position model. The record is from RNAcentral.
GUCCGCCUACGGGACGCAGCAGUAGGGAAUCUUCCACAAUGGACGAAAGGCUGAUGGAGCAACGCCGCGUGAGUGAAGAAGGGUUUCGGCUCGUAAAGCCCUGUUGGUAGUGAAGAAAAAUAGAGGUGGUAACUGACCUUUAUUUGACGGUAAUUACUUAGAAAGUCACGGCUAACUACGUGCCAGCAGCCGCGGUAAUACGUAGGUGGCAAACGUUGUCCGGAUUUAUUGGGCGUAAAGCGAGUGCAGGCGG